Molecule: long non-coding RNA, 2812 nt
Filed under: Capsicum annuum
Lineage: Eukaryota; Viridiplantae; Streptophyta; Magnoliopsida; Solanales; Solanaceae
Description: long non-coding RNA (CANN_LNC011941)
Source: RNAcentral
ACUCUUUAUAUUCUUUGCAACAGAUAUGUAAUUAAAUAAUGCAAUGAUUUGAACAAAUUUAUAUUAAAAAUUGACUAUCAAAAACUCUUACCUAUGAAAUACAAAUGGAAAUGAGAAACACAUAAUGGUAUUGUUUCUUCUCAAUAUACAUGAUAUCAGAAAGAUUGAGAAGACAGAAAUGUUGGGAACCAUAGUUAAUAUUACUCGGUUAAUAAAAUGGGAGACACUUAAAAAUUAAAGGAAUACGUGUACAAUAAAUAGAAUACCGUUUACUACUGAAAGUGAGUCAAGUCCAUAAUAGAGCACUAAGCAAGCGAUUUCAGGACUCGAAUAACCCAUAUUGUUUUUAACUCUAAUAUACAUGAAGUUUUUUAUUUUCUUCAAAUGUACGUUGUUCAUCUUCCAUAAGAAGUAAAAGCCGAAGACAUUGUUUGCCGAAGUGCUCUUCAAAACUAUAGCAUUCCUUUCCCACAUCCAAGUUAAAGUUGCAUGAGAUUAAUAUGACUAAUGAAAAUAUAAGUAAACGUGCAUUUACAUUUCAGAGUGAUGAAAACACAUGAAAAUGCUUUUUUGUCAUAAAGCCAUAGAAAAAUGGUAACUUCACAAAAUAUACCUCUAAACUAGCUCGGGGCAUAUUUUGGUUCAAACCGAAAAAAUCAAAAAGUCAAAUCAAAAUUUAUUUUUGAUUUUAAUUUUUUAUUUUUUUCGGAUCGAUUUCAAUUCAAAUUUUAGAAAUUCGGUUAAACGGUUUGGUUUUCAAUUUUUUUUAAAAAAAAAUGGUUAAACCGAAAAAUCAAAAUUAUAUAUAUAUAUGUGUGUGUGUGUGUGUGUGUACAUAUAUAUAUUCAGUAUAAGUAAUAUUUUUCGGUUAUAUCAUUUCAUUUCAUCCAUGUUGAGUUAUUUAUAUUUGGAAAUAAAAAAGAGGUUUGAAAAAUUAUUUUUUCUAAAAAAAAUUAAAAAAAUCACCAAUUUUAAAUGCUUAGUCAUAACAAAGAAAGAUUCACUACUUUAAUCUUCAAAACCUAAAUAAAAAUUCGAAAUAACCGAAUUGAAUUUAUAGAAAUCAAAUUUAUUUUGAUUUGGUUACAGUUGUCAUUUUCAUGAAUCCAAAAAUCAAAAGACGAAACCAAUAUUAAACAACCAAAUUGAACAAAUCGAAUGGCCAUCCCUACUCUGAACUAAUGAAUUCACAAUUAAAUACAAAAUAAGAAAAUUUUCCAUUUAGUUUGUAACUAUAACUUUUUACAUCGCCAAUCUAGAUUGAAAGUUUUGCCUACAAAAAUUAAUAAUUCUAUAAUUAUAGAGUUACCGGUACAAAAUGAAAUGAAAGGUGAUUAUAUAACCCAAAAAUACUUAAUGUGUUUUGGUCCAUAAAUCAACAAAUAAAUUCACAAGAGUACAUUAAUAAAAAAUAAUAAGAUAUAAACAAACUAAAGCAAAGAUCAUAACUACCGCUAACUAUAUAUGCAUAUGCUAGAAUAUAGAGAUAAAGUAAAACUUCUAAAUAUGAGAUAUCAUGCAAGAAAAAUAACACAUAGCUUUAUACACCCAGAUUUAAUCAACCAAAACUUCAAUUAGUCCCACCCAUAUGAAAGAAAAAAAAAAAAAAAAAAGGGGGGGUAAAAAGUAAAUAAAGAACAAGAUGCAGAAAUGAAGAUGGAACUUGAACAACUCUGUAGGUAAUUUUAUUUAUAGAAUGGUUCAAACUAUAUGGAUUAAGUAAAUGAAAGUUGAAGAAACACGAAAUUUAAGUAGGAGAAUGUAAAUAAAUUUUUUUGUAACUCAUUUGAUAUAAUUAUUACAAUAAAUAUGGUAGUUUUUAAAAUUGGCAAAUAAAUCAACUAAAAAGGAAUGAAGAAAAAAGAAAAAUAUGAAUGGAGACCAUAGAUAGAUGUCACAUCACCUUAUUCAUAAUAACUACUCAUAUAUAUAUAUACUAGUAGAGCAUGGCCCGUAUCAGUACGAGCCCAAUAUUAAGAUAUUUUGAUUAUGUAUGAUAAGUUAGAUUAAUAUAAAUUUAAAUUAUGAAUUAUAAAACAUGAAUACAUAAAAUAUAUUAACUACUUGAUAGUAUUUUUCAAGAAGCCAAAUUGUCUCACAAGAUAAUUAUAUAUAACUUACUCAUAUAAAUAACAAAAUUUGAUGCAUUUUGAAGUUUAGAGCUUUAAUCAUAUGACUUAGUUUUGCUACAUUAAGCAUAAAGUAUGAGACUAAAAUUGAUACAUAAGACUUGGCACCUAUUGUAUAAAAUAAAAAAUAAUUGUUGAAAAAUAUAAAGGGUUAUCUAGUCAUUGCAUAUUACAUCAUAGGUGGAUUGCAAUUAAUAAUUUAAAAUUGCAUUUUAUUCCCCUACUAAGCCGACAUAAACAUCCUUUACUUUCUUCUCCUUCUCUUUUAUUUAUCAACUUGUUCUUUAAAAUUAAAUUAAAUUAAUAUUUUAAAUUUAAAUUUUAAGUGUUUCAAAAGUUAUAUAAAAAAGAAAACUAUAUAAGUUAUGGUCUUUCAUAUUAAUUUAAGUUAUUUGACUUUGACAACACGAUAAAACAUACUUUUGUAGAUGUUUUACGUAAUUUCCAUACGUUACUUUUCUUGUCCAUUUUUUGUGGCAUUGAUAGUCAACUAUAUUGUUAAAAUAAUUUAAGUUUUUAAUUAUUGUGAUUAAUAAUACUUUUCUUCUAUUCUAAUUUAUGUGACACCAAUAUGAUUUCGAGAGUCAAUCAAAUAUUUUAUAACGUUCAAAUUUUUUAAUUUGUUAAUUAUUUUGAUUUAUAAUAUUUUUUUACUUUUUUUAAAAAAAAUAUAUAACAGAUUA